This 4297-nucleotide long non-coding RNA is filed under the name Sus scrofa (pig). Its description in RNAcentral is "lncRNA (ENSSSCG00060062891.1)". The record is from RNAcentral. Lineage: Eukaryota; Metazoa; Chordata; Mammalia; Artiodactyla; Suidae.
GGUGGGAAGUGGAGAGGAGAGGACCCCUGCGACAGCUGACCUCACUGGUGCAUGGCAGAAAACUCCAGACAGGCGGAUGAAUACUGCAUUUCUGGGGAAGGCUGAAGUUGUAAUUAGUGUGGGCGUUACACCUAGGGUUGCUAUCAUGGGCUUGAGCACAAUGAUGCCUUUCGGGGCCUGUGGUUUUUCUCUGUAACAAUGGGAAAGAAGCCUCUGCCUACAACGGUGCCUUACGUAGUUUUAAAACUAUUCUAUGAUCUUGGAGGUUUACGGUCCGCAGGUGUAAUACACAUGCCUUUUUCCUCUAUGGAGAAAUCCAAGGACACCUUUUAAAUGACACCAACCUUAUUUUCCAGUAUUUUUUUCAAACCUUUAUCUUUCUAAUUCACCGUACCUGAGACAAAUCAGCCUACGCACUCUUGCAGGCUGUACACAUCCCUCUCUCCACUUGGAGUAGCCUUUACUCUGUGACAACCUGAAGGUGCAGGUGAAGCUUAUCUAGAUGAGGAAGCAGGCUCAGCAGGAAGUAAUCGUGCUGUUCUAUCAUUCUACCGACUUGGUGUCAAGACACUGGUGAGUACCGGGCACCAUCGUGGAUGUUUUUAAACCCGCACGACUCCAAAUUCAUACCUCAAGACAUUGGGAUGAACAGGUAGCAGUAGGAGUCAAGAAAUCUGUAUGUUCAGUAAGUUUCCAGGUAAUUCUGAUGCAAGUGUGCUAAGGACUUCACGCUGAAACAAAUAUUUGUCUACACAUACCUUUGAACCUUCCUCAUGGUUUGGAAUACAUGCUUUUUUUCCAGCAUAGACGUAAUAAACCUUAAAAACAAAAAUCACAACUUACGGUUUUCAUACCCCCCCAAGAGUUUGGCACAGUAUACUGUCCCAUAUAAAGCAAUAUUAAAUAUAUAUACAUACUAAUAUUAUUAUAAAUAUAUACUAUUAAAUAUUUGUUACAAAAAAGUGAGUUAGUAAGAAAUCCUAAUUUUUCACAAAUAUUUAUAUUUCUUGAAAUAGUGUCCCAUUGAUUUUUUUUUUUUAAUAUUUAAAGCUGCUGUACUAGUACCCCUAGUUUUUUGGGGUUUUUUUGUCUUUUUGUCCUUUUUAGGGCCACACUCAUGGCAUAUGGAGGAGGUUCCCAGGCUAGGGAUCUUAAUUGGAGCUGCAGCCACUGGCCUAUGCCACAGCCAUAGCAAUGCCAGAUCUGAGCCACGUCUGUGACCCACACCACAGCUCAUGGCAACGCCAGAUCCUUAACCCACUGAGUGAGGCCAGGGAUCGAACCCGAAACCUCAUGGUUCGUAGUGGGAUUUAUUUCCGCUGCGCCACGAUGGGAACUCCACCCCUAGAUUUAACAUUAACUUUGUAAUACAUAAUAACUUUAUAACACAGACUUUAUGUCAUUGUUGGUACUUAGGUGGCUUUUUUAUACAAAAUCAUAUAAUACAUAUUGUUCAUAAUCAUAAAAUAUAUUAUUCUACAAAAUCAUAUAAUUAUUUUUUUUACUUUUCAGAACCUUUAAUAUGCUGAUAUAAAGUAUGAAUCAAAAAAGAUCAUUUAUGCUGGGCAUUUCUCAUACUUUACUUUUUUUUUCCUUUUUUAUUACUUAAUGAAUUAUAUUACAUUUACAGGUGUAUAACAAUCAUCACAACCAAAUUUUACAGCAUGUCCAUCCCAAAUCCUCAGUACAUCCCCCCACCUCCCAACCUGUCUCAUUUGGAAACCAUAAGUUUUUCAAAGUCUGUGAGUCAGAUCUGUUCUGCAAAGAAGUCCAUUCUGUCCUCUUUUUAGGUUCCACAUGAAGUGAAAGCAUUUGAUGUUGGUGUCUCAUUGUCUGGCUGACUUCACUUAGCAUGAUAAUUUCUAGGUCCAUCCAUGCUGCCCCAAAUGUCCUUAUUUCUUUCCUUUUAAUGGCUGAGUAAUAUUCCAUUGUGUAUAUGUACCACAUAUUCUGGAUCCACGCCUCUGUCAAUGGACACUGAGGUUGUUUCCAUGUCUUGGCUAUUGCAAAUAGUGCUGCAGUGACCAUCAGAGUACAUGUGUCUUUGCGAGUCGUGGUUUUCUCUGGAUAGAUGCCCAGGAGUGGGAUUGCUGGAUCAACUGGUAGUUCUAUGUUUAGUUUUCUGAGGCGUCUCCAUACCGUUUCCCACAGUGGCUGCACCAAUUUACAAUCCCACCAACAGUGUACUAGGGUUCCUUUCUCUCCACACCAUACUUAUUUUACUUAUUUCAUACUUAAUCCCCUUUUCACAGAAUAUAGUUAAGGAUAUACAAGUGUAUCUAUACAUAUGAACAAACUUAAAGAGAAUAGUUUUAGAGGAAUUCAAACCAAAUAAGAUGUGAUUUUAAAAUAUUAUCAACGCUAAUCCACAGAAUGGGAGAAAAUCUUUACACAUGGUAUGUAUGAUAAGGGAGUUGUAUUUGAAAAAUAUGUAAAAAACUACCACAAAUUAGUAAUGAAAAGAUAAAUAAAAAUGAACGGAGGAUCUAAAAAACAGUAUCUCCAAUGAAGUUACACAAAUGACCAAUAAGCACAUGAAGUGAUACUUGACAUAAUUAGCUAUCAAAGGAAUGCAAAUCAAAGUCACAAUGAGAUACCAUUUCACACCUACCCAAAUGACUACAAUCAGAAAGCCAGGUAAUAACGAGUGUUAUUGAAAGUGUGGAGUAAUGGAAAAACACAUACGCUGCUGGUCAGAAUGUAAAAUGAUGCAAUUGCCUUAGAAAACGGUUUGGCAGUUCCUCAAAAGGUUAAAUAGAGUGUUAUCAAAUGACCCAGCAAUUCCAGUCCUUAAUGAUUAUACCGAAGAGAAAUAAAAACCAUAGGUGCAUACUACAACUUGGACAUAAAUGUUCAUAGCAAUAUUAUUCAUAAUAACCAAAAAGCGAAACACCCCCAAAUGCCUGUCAGCUAACAAAUGGCUACAUAAAAUUCCAUACACCCGUAUAAUGGAAUAUUAUUCAGCAAGAGAAAGAAAUAUGGACUCAUGCUACAACAUGAACUUUGAAAUACAUCAAGUGAAAGAAGCCACUCCCAAAGGACCACAUAUUACAGGACCCAUCUGCAUGAAAUACUCAGGACAGGCAAGUUAGAGAGAGGCAGGAGAUUGCUGGUUGCUCAAGGUCAGGGAGAAGGUUAUGAGUGGAUGACAGUGAGAGUUACUGCGAGCCUCUUUAUUUCAAGCCACUUCCAUCUCUCCUUGAGGAGUCUUCCUCUGUAUUACUGAGUUUCGUAGUCAGUCCUACAGAACAUAAGCUUUUCUUCUUUCAUGUGAAAACAAUGUAUGAUUUUUAAUGUUCACAUUUAUAAUUUAUUCCAGAAAUAUACUGUUCUACCAAAACCAUAUAAUUAUAAACAAUGAGCAAUCCACCUUUCACAGAUUUUAGUUUAUUUUUUUAUUUUUAUUUUUUGUCUUCUUUUUUUUUUAGGGCCGCAUCCGCGGCAUACGGAGGUUCCCAGGCGAGGGGUAGAAUCGGAGCUCCACUGGCCUACACCACAGCCAAGGCAACGCGGGAUCCGAGCCAGGUCUUCAAGCUACACCACACAGCUCACAGCAACGCCGGAUCCUUAACCCACGGAGCAAGGCCAGGGAUCGAACCCGCAAUCUCACCGUUCCUAGUCGGAUUCGCUAACCACUGAGCCACACGGGAACUCCAGCAGGACCUUGUUUUGAUCCAUCUUACACAGAACCGUUUGCAUCAGGUACCCUCUAAGUACAAAGAACGUUGAGUUUUCCCAUCACUUGAUUCAUGAAACGAAGGUACCCUCCAUUCUCAAUGCUCCUGUUAUCUCCUGUACCCUAUGACUCUGAUGUGCUCAGGAGUAAAAGUCUCUGUGUUUAUCUUUGGGUUUGUUGGGUUUUUUGAACAGUAAAUCAAUGUUUUCAUUAAACUGGGGAGGUCUGGGCCAUUAUUCCCUCCAUUUUUCUUUCUUUCUAGCUCAGCAGUCAACCAUGGAGUUGGACAACUUAGGCUCCAAAGUUGUGACUCUCUCCGGAGGGGCUGGUGCUGGGAGGGUUUCUCUUCAACUUGCAGCUGCUUUCCCAGUCCCAUCUCCAAUCCUGGCGUCAUCAGUGGUGAGGCUGCCCUGUUUCCACCGCAGUCUCCCACAGUCACACCCGUGGGAGCUGAGUACCACCCUUGGACCAAAAGCUGCAAACCCACAAUUCCUAGCCAUUCCAGCUACAGGUUUUCAAAACCCUUACAGACGCAUGUUUUAAUGUACUUUUUAAUGGCUUGCAAUAUCUUUCUAUAGAUUUGUAACCCAAUAUUUGACAGCUGCCAUCGGUAACUAUUUU